Lycium barbarum (goji berry) is the source of this 1979-nucleotide long non-coding RNA. RefSeq lists it as uncharacterized. The transcript has 2 exons. The record is from RefSeq and is a predicted model, not a curated record. Lineage: Eukaryota; Viridiplantae; Streptophyta; Magnoliopsida; Solanales; Solanaceae.
GAAUGUGAGUCAUAGAUUAUGCCGAAUAUCGCAUUAUUAUCGCUUAAGCGCUUUCGUGUCGUCGUUACGAAUUUUAGUUUGGAAUUGAGCAUUUAAUGACUUAAGAUUGAUGUUGAGAUUGUACGGGCUGAUUUGAGGGUUAUUGUGCGUUGAUGUAAUUUGUAUAUUUUAUGAAAAUGGUAUCGUUAUAUUGUGAAUUGUGAUACAAAACAUGAAUUGAAAGUCGGAAGUGUGCCCAGUGGGCUGCUCACGGGUAGGGGCUGUUUUCGGCCAAAAAUUUGGAGAAAUUGUGGAUUGUUGGAAAAAUUAUGUGAAUUUUUUAGAAUGUUCUUGAAUGUUGUUAGUAUGGGUUUGGGUUAAUAAUCGAAUGUACGAACGAUAUUGUGGCUUGAAAGUAAGCCAUUGAAUUGAAUAAUUGGAAAGUUGUCGAAUGGUGUAAAAGAGAGCUACUAUUAUUAUUUUGCCUUUCGAAUUGAUUAUCGAUGUUGCUAGGUUGGUUAUUGUGGUUGUUGUUGUUGAUUUUGAGCGAGUUAAAUUCUCGGGAUGGCCUAUUUAUAGGGGAAAUGCUGCCGAAUUUUCUGUAGAAUUUAAUGUUAGUUGGAAUAAAUGGCUUAAGUGCCUAUGUUUAAUAUUGGAUAUUCGUUGGCAUAUUUGUAGACCUUGGGGAGCCCGAGGCGUAGAUUGGAAUUUACUUUAUAUUGGCCAUCUUGGAGUGCGUACGAGGUAUGUAAAGCAACCUCCCUUCUUUUUGGCAUGUCUUAGUUUUACAUAGGCUAGAUUAGAGCCUUAAGGAAAUUCCAAAUCCGAAAUCCGAGCAUGAUAUGAUCUAUAUAUGUUCCUUGGCACUCUUAUGUAUGAUUUGAUGAAAUAUGAACCUUUAUGUAUUUGAAAUAAUCGCUUUCCAAACUUUGCGCAAAAAGGUUUCACUUUAAAGAACUUCGAAAUUUCUGAAUGCCAUACAUUUCACAUAAAUGCUCGGAUUACUCCAAUAUUUUUAUAAAAGUUUGCAUUAUGUAUGAUACGUAUGUUUUUCAUAGGCGGGCCCGACUUGGGUAAAUACCCGUCCGUGGGUCCCGCGACUUUCCUUUAUGUAAUUCAGAGAAUCUUUGAAAGAAUUUGGUAUGAUUAUUAUUCCGAUUUCAAAUAUGAUCAUUUUACUUAUGUUUGAAUUUAUGAUAAUGAUUUUAUGCAUAUGACUACUCACGACUCUACUCGUGCAUUCUGUUAUUCCUUUCGCCGAGUCCCGGGCCGGUUCUGUUGUCGUGCGCAUUUUGAUAUACUCCGGAGUUAUGCUGUGUUUAUGGUUCACCGAGCUACUCGCAAAAGAGGGUCGGGUUCCACCUAUAUUUGGUGUUAUGCUGUGUAUGGCGUUAUGUUGUGAUGUGAUAUGUGACGGUGAUACGGAGAUUUGAAACUUUCUGGUGUUAUGCUGUGUUAUGGCGCCAUCGACGGGUGGGCGACCAUAUUCUUCUGUACCCUAUGCAUUACUUACAUAUUUUUGAAAGUACAGACGCACAGUUUGGUGAUCUACCCAUUUCGGACACCCUAUUCUGCUGUUUGGAGUGCUCUUCUCAUUUCAGAGCACACAUUUUGGUAUAUAUUCGUUCGCCAUGUAUAUAUGUAUUUGUUCAGGGGCACGGCGGGGCCCUGUCCCGCCAUAUGAUUCGGUUUGUCUGUUUAGAGGUCUGUAGACGUAUUUGUGGGUGUGUGUGCCUACUUCUGUACGGAUGUGUUUGCAUGACUCUAUUCGUUAUGGCAGCCUCGUCGGCGUGCAUUUUGUAUAUGUUUGUGGCAGCCUUGUCGGCGUGCAUUUGUAUAUGCGUUUUGGGCCGUUGUGCCAUUUGACAGCCUUGUCGGCUUUUGACAUAUUUGAUAGCCUUGCCGGCUUUUUGAUAUAUGUGCAUAUGUUCGGCGAUGUAUAUUCCGCCGCCUCUUCUGAUUCUGAUAUAAUGUUUUGUACGCGCAAUCGCGCAAGAUAA